This 325-nucleotide ribosomal RNA is filed under the name uncultured eukaryote. Its description in RNAcentral is "partial 18S ribosomal RNA". It matches the Rfam family "Eukaryotic small subunit ribosomal RNA", at positions 1470 to 1796 of the family's 1831-position model. The record is from RNAcentral.
CCCUUAGAUGUUCUGGGCCGCACGCGCGCUACACUGAUGCAUUCAACGAGCCUAUCCUUGACCGACAGGUCCGGGUAAUCUUUGAAUCUGCAUCGUGACGGGGAUAGAUUAUUGCAAUUAUUAAUCUUCAACGAGGAAUGCCUAGUAGGCGCAAGUCAUCAGCUUGCGUCGAUUACGUCCCUGCCCUUUGCACACACCGCCCGUCGCUCCUACCGAUUGGGUGUGCUGGUGAAAUGUUCGGAUCGGCCGUUUGUCGCGGUUUCCGCGUCAUGUGGCUGAGAAGUUCAUUAAACCCUCCCACCGAGAGGAAGGAGAAGUCGUAACA